This 1511-nucleotide unclassified non-coding RNA is filed under the name Bombus terrestris (buff-tailed bumblebee). Its description in RNAcentral is "misc RNA ENSBTSG00005028786.1". The record is from RNAcentral. Lineage: Eukaryota; Metazoa; Arthropoda; Insecta; Hymenoptera; Apidae.
UCACGAUAGUGGCGUAAGAACGACGGAUACGUAUCGCGCAAAGUUUAGCUGUUAAAUCCUAGGGUACCCUGUAUAUAACUAAAGACACGAACAUACAUAUACGUAGCCGGAUCUGAGAAAAUUCGCGUGUUUCGUUUUUCCAUCCGCGGAUAUAACGGGACCGUUUAAGCAUACGGAUCCCGUGACUCUCUUCUUUUUCAGCCCCCUUAUCCUGCCCUUCUUUGUUUCGUGUCGUUUUCGUGAUUUGCGAGAGCCUCUCGAGUUCUUUUUUUUCUCUCUCCCUUUCUUUUCCCUCCUGUAUGCUUUUUUUCUUUUUUCUUUUUUUUCUUUUUUUUUUUUGUUAUUCUGCCGGGGAGAAUUCACUAGCCUCGCGAUCGUCGAGGAAGGAAACGUGGAAAGAGCGCGGAGGAACUUUCCCCGACCAGCGAGCAAUGCUCGGAUUUCAUCGUUGUCGCGAGUUGGAAUAUUCUAAGCAUUUUGUUCUCCCUGCACUCGUUCGUAAUCCUCGUUAAACCGUUUCGGACACGAAUAUAUUCUAUCGAAGCUGGAGCUUUCUCUCUCGUAAGAAAAUUUCACAGUUCUCUGUCUCUUUUCCUCGACUGUCUGUUUUCCAUGAAAAUUCGCCACAUGAUUUUGUGGCUGUAGAAGUAAAUGAAAAGAAUAGAAAGAAGAACGGUUUGUUUGCACAGCGCGCUUUAUCUUAUCUCGUUUCUCGGAAAUUUCCAAUUUUUCGAUACUUUUCUAAUAAAAAUAAUCCGAAUAUAAAUAUCGGUUUCGAGAGUUUCGUACGAAAAAUUCCUUUCCGCGAAACUUACCGCGCUAUAAUACGAGGAAACUUUUCCAACCAACCGCGAGAUCACCGGAAAUAAAGGAUCGCGACGAAAAUUUCUCGCCAGAGACAACGAACUCUGAUUCACUGGGAAACGGCGUGCAGGCAGCGACAAAAUUCAAAACGAUCGGUGUUUUUGCAAUGUUCGUAUAAUUGUAAUUCGGACGAAGCGACGGUGUCGUUUCGUGGAAAACACGGUUAAUUCGAUUCGAGUCCCGUUUGUGUUAACGCGGCAGGUACGAAUGAAUAAAACAAAUUGGUUGGAGAGCCACGUUGAAAUUGAAUAUUUAUGUAGAAAUAUUCACGAAAGUGGAUAUUUACGUAGAAAGGAAUUCAAUGAUUCGUAACAAGAUGAAAUUUAGACACGCGCUGUGUACAUUACCGCUCAAAAGUAUCCCGAUACUUGUAGGUUUUCAGCAAAAUUGGAUAAGUAGAGGUACGAUCGUUUUAUCCCGCGCGAUCAGCGUUUCUUGAUAGAGAAUUUUAUCCUCCGAUCAGCACGUAGAUUCCAAGUAUUAUGAUUUUUAGAAGCUAAUUCGCGGUGAGAAAAAUAUCGCCAAUCUGUGUGCAUUAAGUAGUCGCGCGUGUCGUUGCCCCGUCUUACAGCGAAUAAUCGAAAUUUGUAGUCUUUUGAUUCUAUUAAACGAUACCAAGCACUAUUUGCGAUCGUUAAUUCGUUAUU